AGUAAUGCUUAGGAAUCUGCCUAUUAGUGGGGGACAACAUCUCGAAAGGGAUGCUAAUACCGCAUACGUCCUACGGGAGAAAGCAGGGGACCUUCGGGCCUUGCGCUAAUAGAUGAGCCUAAGUCGGAUUAGCUAGUUGGUGGGGUAAAGGCCUACCAAGGCGACGAUCUGUAGCGGGUCUGAGAGGAUGAUCCGCCACACUGGGACUGAGACACGGCCCAGACUCCUACGGGAGGCAGCAGUGGGGAAUAUUGGACAAUGGGGGGAACCCUGAUCCAGCCAUGCCGCGUGUGUGAAGAAGGCCUUUUGGUUGUAAAGCACUUUAAGCGAGGAGGAGGCUACUGGUAUUAAUACUACCGGAUAGUGGACGUUACUCGCAGAAUAAGCACCGGCUAACUCUGUGCCAGCAGCCGCGGUAAUACAGAGGGUGCGAGCGUUAAUCGGAUUUACUGGGCGUAAAGCGUGCGUAGGCGGCUUUUUAAGUCGGAUGUGAAAUCCCUGAGCUUAACUUAGGAAUUGCAUUCGAUACUGGGAGGCUAGAGUAUGGGAGAGGAUGGUAGAAUUCCAGGUGUAGCGGUGAAAUGCGUAGAGAUCUGGAGGAAUACCGAUGGCGAAGGCAGCCAUCUGGCCUAAUACUGACGCUGAGGUACGAAAGCAUGGGGAGCAAACAGGAUUAGAUACCCUGGUAGUCCAUGCCGUAAACGAUGUCUACUAGCCGUUGGGGCCUUUGAGGCUUUAGUGGCGCAGCUAACGCGAUAAGUAGACCGCCUGGGGAGUACGGUCGCAAGACUAAAACUCAAAUGAAUUGACGGGGGCCCGCACAAGCGGUGGAGCAUGUGGUUUAAUUCGAUGCAACGCGAAGAACCUUACCUGGUCUUGACAUACAGAGAACUUUCCAGAGAUGGAUUGGUGCCUUCGGGAACUCUGAUACAGGUGCUGCAUGGCUGUCGUCAGCUCGUGU
RNAcentral lists this ribosomal RNA (961 nucleotides) under Acinetobacter sp. 119_2. RNAcentral describes it as "bacterial SSU rRNA". It matches the Rfam family "Bacterial small subunit ribosomal RNA", at positions 109 to 1065 of the family's 1533-position model. Lineage: Bacteria; Pseudomonadati; Pseudomonadota; Gammaproteobacteria; Moraxellales; Moraxellaceae. The record is from RNAcentral.